Molecule: long non-coding RNA, 2181 nt
Organism: Acinonyx jubatus (cheetah)
Lineage: Eukaryota; Metazoa; Chordata; Mammalia; Carnivora; Felidae
Exons: 5
Source: RefSeq, a predicted model, not a curated record
UUGCUCAUUAAUUAAUGAGCUAAAAUAAAGUGUUUGAUAGUAUUCAUUUCAUACUUUUAUGAGUCAUGUUCUUAAUUUUGUAAAAAUAUAUACUAAAGAAAAUUAGAUUUUUAAAAUAGAAUGUCUGAUUAAAAAUAUCCUGGGGCGCCUGGGUGGCUCCAUCAGUUAAGCUUCCGACUUUGGCUCAGGUCAUUAUCUCACGGUUCCUGGGAUGUGACGGGCUCUGUGCUAACAGCUCAGAGCCUGGAGCCUGCUUGGGGUUCUGUGUCUCCUCCUCUCUCUGCCCCUCCCCUGCUCAUGCUCUCUUUCUCUCUCUCUCAAAAAUGUAUAAACAUUAAAAAAUUAAAAAAAAAAUCUUGAUUGACAAGUGACAGCAUGUUGAGAGUGAACUAUUUACUAGUUGAACAAGUCAUAAUCCCUAUGUUCUUUAGAAAAUUUUUCACACAGUGGGGAUUUAUUCCCAGAAGAAGUCAUUAAUUACUGCAUGGAAAACAUUUCUGUUCCAGACCAGUGUUGAGAAAAGUUACAAACUUUUAGAAUGUUUCCAAAAAUUAUUCACAACAUUCUUGAGGUUACAGAACUACUUACCAUUUCUGGCUGUCCUUGGAGAAGAGACCCAGGAUGAUUCAGCCAAGCCGCAGGCAGACACAGUUUCAUAGAGUCUUUGCUGGUGUUAAAGGGAAGCCCUGACUCCAGGCCUUUUCCAUAGGGAUGUGAUUUGCUUUUAAGAGCCAGACAGAUGCUACAAAUCUUUCUUCCCAAGAAAAAACAUUCUGAGAUUCCUCUCAACAAUUGAACACACCCAAGCUAGGCUGCUGGAGGAAUGUAAGGGACAUGUAGACAGAAUCAGCCACUGACAGCCAGUUAACCCGACAUGCAGGUGAUGUGGGAGGGGGUGUGGACUUUGGGAGGUGGUAAUACCUUUACAAAGAAGGCUCCAGAGAAACACCUUGCCCCUUCUAACAUGCAAGGGCACAGCAAGAAAGCACUGACGAUCAACCAGGAAGAUGGCCCUCAUCAGAAUCUGACCAUGCUGGAGCCUUCAUCUUGGACUUCUCAGCCUGCAGAAUGGUGAAAAAUAAGUUUUUGUGUUUUAUAAGCCACCCAGUCUAUGGUAUUUUGUUAUAGCAGCCCAAAUGGACUAAAAUAUGUGCACUCUUGAAACUAUCACCAAAAUCAAGACAAUGAACAAAUUCAUCACUCCAAAAAAAUAUCCUCAUACUGUUUGUAAUAUCUCUCACUGGACUCAUCCCUGUCCCUCUCAAGUUUCUGGACAACAGUGAUCUGCUUUCUGUCCCCAUAGAUUAGUUUGCAUUUCUUACAAUUUUAUAUCAGUGGACUAAUACAGUAUGUACUCUUUUUUGUCUUUUACUCAGCAUUAUUAUUUUGAGAUUCCUCCAUAUGGUAGUGUGUAUCACUAGUUUAUUCUUUUUUUAUUGCUGUGUAAUAUUCAAUUACGUGGAUAUACCACUUUUGUUUAUCCAUUAACCUAUUGAUGGCAUUUGGGUGGCUUCUAGUUUUUAGCUACUAUAAUAAAGCUGCUACAAAUAUUUAUGUACAAAUCUUUUUUUUUAUGUUUAUUUAUUAUUAUUUUAUUUAUUUACUUAUUUAUUUUUUUGAGAUAGUGCCAGUGGUGGGGAGGAGCAGAGAGGGAGGGAUACAGAAGAUUUGAAGGAGGGCCUGUGUUUACAGCAGAGAGCCUGAUGCAGGGCUCAAACUCACAAACCGUGAGAUCAUGACCUGAGCCAAAGUUGGAGGCUCAACCAGUUGAGCCACUCAGGUGCCCCUCAUGUACAAAUCUUUGCUUUCAUUUCUCUUGGGUGGGAAAGCAAAAAUGAAAUGAUAAAGUGAAAUGGAUGAAUCAUGUGAUAGUGCAUAUUUAGAGAAAUUGCCAAAUUGUUUUCCAAAAUAUUGUACUGUUUUAUAUUGCCACCAGCAGUGACAAUGUCCUCCUUAUCUUCACCAACAUUUGCUAUGGCCAUUCUUUUUAACUUUAGCUAUCUUAGGAAGUAUAAAAUGUGUAGUAUAUCUCAGUGUGGUUUUAAACUUGUAUUUCCCUGAUGACUAAUGACGUUGAGCAUACUUUUUUAUGUACUUAUUUGUCACCUACGUAUUAUCUUUAGUAGGUGAUUGUUCAAAUCUUUUGACUAGUUUUCAAUUAGCUUUUUUCUUAUUGUUGAC